This is a non-coding RNA of Dermacentor albipictus, 618 nucleotides long. NCBI's taxonomy places the organism in Eukaryota, Metazoa, Arthropoda, Arachnida, Ixodida, Ixodidae. The record is from RefSeq and is a predicted model, not a curated record.
CGAAAGCUGAAUCGCCGUCUUGGUGAAAGUCCGGUGAGGACUUGGAAAGGAAGUCUGGUGCUAUCAGCCGGGAAACACGGACAACAUGGACCGCAACGGCGCAAUGUCAUAAUUCCCACCUUUAACUUAGCGCAAGACUUUGUAGGGCCGUAUGGAGCGCGACAGAAGUUUCUAGGAGAUGCCGACAAGGCCACAUGGGGACCAGAGGAGUACGCAAGAGCCUGAAAAGAACAUCAUGUUUCGAUGCCGGUGGUCAUAGCGGAGUUUUUUGCAAAUCCUGCGACGUGGAGAGGCAAUAUUGGGUGAUCUGAUCAGCCAUGUGAGCCAACUCGAUGACGUCAUGACCGUAUUCAGCAGCACCAGACGGCGUGAAAGGCAGGAUGGUGCCAAAGGGAAACGUGGUGUCGCGACCACACGAAAGGGCGUGUCUACCCAGCUCCACAUCCGCAUUCUGGAGGGCCCCAAGUCGCUGCAUACUCGGCGGAGCAGCAACAUUCUCACCCGCAAAGUGGAGUUCUUGCAUCGAUCUACAGGAGGCCCAUAUUCACGAUGUUACCACCAUCACCACCACCACCACCACCACCACCACCACCACCACCCCACCACCACCACCACCAG